RNAcentral lists this ribosomal RNA (431 nucleotides) under uncultured bacterium. RNAcentral describes it as "partial 16S ribosomal RNA". It matches the Rfam family "Bacterial small subunit ribosomal RNA", at positions 29 to 507 of the family's 1533-position model. The record is from RNAcentral.
AACGAACGCUGGCGGCAGGCCUAACACAUGCAAGUCGAGCGCCCCGCAAGGGGAGCGGCGGACGGGUGAGUAACGCGUGGGAAUAUGCCCUUUGCUACGGAAUAGUCUCGGGAAACUGGGGGUAAUACCGUAUACGCCCUUUGGGGGAAAGAUUUAUCGGCGAAGGAUUAGCCCGCGUUGGAUUAGGUAGUUGGUGGGGUAAUGGCCUACCAAGCCGACGAUCCAUAGCUGGUUUGAGAGGAUGAUCAGCCACACUGGGACUGAGACACGGCCCAGACUCCUACGGGAGGCAGCAGUGGGGAAUCCUAGACAAUGGGGGCAACCCUGAUCUAGCCAUGCCGCGUGAGUGAUGAAGGCCUUAGGGUUGUAAAGCUCUUUCAGCUGGGAAGAUAAUGACGGUACCAGCAGAAGAAGCCCCGGCUAACUCCGUG